RNAcentral lists this transfer RNA (57 nucleotides) under Ovis aries (sheep). It matches the Rfam family "tRNA", at positions 8 to 63 of the family's 71-position model. Rfam says of the family: Transfer RNA (tRNA) molecules are approximately 80 nucleotides in length. RNAcentral also lists the same sequence under 1 other name. The record is from Rfam by way of RNAcentral. Lineage: Eukaryota; Metazoa; Chordata; Mammalia; Artiodactyla; Bovidae.
UGGCUCAGAUGGUAAAGCGUCUGCCUGCAGUGCGGGAGACCCGGGUUCGAUUCCUGG